UAGUGGCGAACGGGUGAGUAACACGUGGGCAAUCUGCCCUUCACUCUGGGACAAGCCCUGGAAACGGGGUCUAAUACCGGAUAAUACCUUCCUCUGCAUGGGGGAGGGUUGAAAGCUCCGGCGGUGAAGGAUGAGCCCGCGGCCUAUCAGCUUGUUGGUGGGGUGAUGGCCUACCAAGGCGACGACGGGUAGCCGGCCUGAGAGGGCGACCGGCCACACUGGGACUGAGACACGGCCCAGACUCCUACGGGAGGCAGCAGUGGGGAAUAUUGCACAAUGGGCGAAAGCCUGAUGCAGCGACGCCGCGUGAGGGAUGACGGCCUUCGGGUUGUAAACCUCUUUCAGCAGGGAAGAAGCGAGAGUGACGGUACCUGCAGAAGAAGCGCCGGCUAACUACGUGCCAGCAGCCGCGGUAAUACGUAGGGCGCAAGCGUUGUCCGGAAUUAUUGGGCGUAAAGAGCUCGUAGGCGGCUUGUCACGUCGGAUGUGAAAGCCCGGGGCUUAACCCCGGGUCUGC
This 517-nucleotide ribosomal RNA is filed under the name Streptomyces sp. 306F08. Its description in RNAcentral is "bacterial SSU rRNA". It matches the Rfam family "Bacterial small subunit ribosomal RNA", at positions 93 to 624 of the family's 1533-position model. Lineage: Bacteria; Bacillati; Actinomycetota; Actinomycetes; Kitasatosporales; Streptomycetaceae. The record is from RNAcentral.